RNAcentral lists this ribosomal RNA (496 nucleotides) under uncultured bacterium. Its description in RNAcentral is "partial 16S ribosomal RNA". It matches the Rfam family "Bacterial small subunit ribosomal RNA", at positions 29 to 507 of the family's 1533-position model. The record is from RNAcentral.
AUGAACGCUGGCGGCGUGCCUAAUACAUGCAAGUCGAGCGAACAGACGAGGAGCUUGCUCCUCUGACGUUAGCGGCGGACGGGGGAGUAACACGUGGAUAACCUACCUAUAAGACUGGGAUAAAUUCGGGAAACCGGAGCUAAUACCGGAUAAUAUAUUGAACCGCAUGGUUCAAUAGUGAAAGACGGUUUUGCUGUCACUUAUAGAUGGAUCCGCGCCGCAUUAGCUAGUUGGUAAGGUAACGGCUUACCAAGGCAACGAUGCGUAGCCGACCUGAGAGGGUGAUCGGCCACACUGGAACUGAGACACGGUCCAGACUCCUACGGGAGGCAGCAGUAGGGAAUCUUCCGCAAUGGGCGAAAGCCUGACGGAGCAACGCCGCGUGAGUGAUGAAGGUCUUCGGAUCGUAAAACUCUGUUAUUAGGGAAGAACAAAUGUGUAAGUAACUAUGCACGUCUUGACGGUACCUAAUCAGAAAGCCACGGCUAACUACGUG